AAGCCUAACGGAACAAUACCGCGUGAGGGAGGAAGGCUCUUGGGUUGUAAACCUCUUUUGCUUUGGAAGAAUACUGACGGUACCAAGCGAAUAAACAUCGGCUAAAUCCGUGCCAGCAGCCGCGGUAAUACGGAGGAUGCAAACGUUAUCCGCCAUUAUUGGCCGUAAAGCGUCCGCAGGUGGCACUUCAAGUCUGCUGUCAAAGACCGGAGCUUAACUCCGGAAAGGCAGUGGAAACUGGAGAGAUAGAGUAUGGUAGGGCUAGAGGGAAUUCCCAGUGUAGCGGUGAAAUGCGUAAAGAUUGGGAAGAACAUUUGUGGCGAAAGCGCU
Molecule: ribosomal RNA, 330 nt
Filed under: uncultured Gloeothece sp.
Lineage: Bacteria; Bacillati; Cyanobacteriota; Cyanophyceae; Chroococcales; Aphanothecaceae
Description: bacterial SSU rRNA
Rfam family: Bacterial small subunit ribosomal RNA
Source: RNAcentral